CCUACGGGUGGCAGCAGUGGGGAAUAUUGCACAAUGGGGGAAACCCUGAUGCAGCGACGCCGCGUGAGUGAAGAAGUAUUUCGGUAUGUAAAGCUCUGUUAGCAGGGAAGAAAAUGACGGUACCUGACCAAGAAGCCCCGGCUAACUACGUGCCAGCAGCCGCGUUAAUACGGAGGGGGCAAGCGUUAUCCGGAUUUACUGGGUGUAAGGGGAGCGUAGACGGUAGGGCAAGUCUGGGGUGAAAGGCGGGGGCUCAAGCCCCGAACUGCUCUGGAAACUGCCAGGCUGGAGUGCAGGAGAGGUAAGUGGAAUUCCUAGUGUAGCGGUGAAAUGCGUAGAUAUUAGGAGGAACACCAGUGGCGAAGGCGGCUUACGGGACUGUAACUGACGUUGAGGCUCGAAAGCGUGGGGAGCAAACAGGAUUAGAUACCCUAGUAGUC
RNAcentral lists this ribosomal RNA (440 nucleotides) under uncultured bacterium. Its description in RNAcentral is "partial 16S ribosomal RNA". It matches the Rfam family "Bacterial small subunit ribosomal RNA", at positions 338 to 795 of the family's 1533-position model. The record is from RNAcentral.